Dermochelys coriacea (leatherback sea turtle) is the source of this 242-nucleotide long non-coding RNA. RefSeq lists it as uncharacterized. The record is from RefSeq and is a predicted model, not a curated record. The transcript is spliced from 3 exons. NCBI's taxonomy places the organism in Eukaryota, Metazoa, Chordata, Testudines, Dermochelyidae.
UCCCAAAUGUUUGCUCUGGUGACCCCUUUCACAUAGCAAGCGUCUGACUGUGACCCCCCCAUAUGAAUUAAAAACACUUUUUUAUAUAUUUAACACCAUUAUAAAUGCUGGAGACAAAGCGGGGUUUAGGGUGGAGGCUGACACCUUGUGACCCCCCCCAUGUAAUAACCCCGCUACUCUCUGAGGGGUCCUGAUACCAAAUUUGAGAACCCCUGGUCUACACUGUAACUUGGGAGACCUAG